This 459-nucleotide ribosomal RNA is filed under the name Triticum aestivum (bread wheat). Its description in RNAcentral is "partial small subunit ribosomal RNA". The record is from RNAcentral. Lineage: Eukaryota; Viridiplantae; Streptophyta; Magnoliopsida; Poales; Poaceae.
AUGUGGCCAGUGUCACCCAAUCCUAGGCCAGUGCCUCCUGAAUAUGUUAGGUUGCCAGGAAGGCCUAAAAACAAUGAUAGGAGAAGAGAAGAAACUAAGCAACCUAAGGGGAAGAAAAUGAGCAAGCAUGGCACAAUUAUCAAAUGCUCAUUGUGUGGUAACCCUGGACACAACAAAUCAGGAUGUAAACAGAAUCCAGAGAGAGGCAAGAAAAAGAAUGCACAUCUUGCUAGAACUAGCAAGAAAAAGAACCCAACUGAGGUAUUUGUUGCUGUCAUGUACUUAUUGCACAUUGCAUAUUUAUCCUGCUUAUUAGUCUUUUGUUGGAACUUAUUGCAUAUUUAUCCUGAAUUUGCAGCAAUCCAAAGGAAGUGCACCUGCCUCUGCCUCUGCAUCUGCUCCACCAACAGCAACAAGUUCAGUACCAACAGGUCCUUCUGCUGGGACCAACAUGUUUAA